CUAUAACGGUCCUAAGGUAGCGAAAUUCCUUGUCGGGUAAGUUCCGACCUGCACGAAUGGCGUAAUGAUGGCCAGGCUGUCUCCACCCGAGACUCAGUGAAAUUGAACUCGCUGUGAAGAUGCAGUGUACCCGCGGCAAGACGGAAAGACCCCGUGAACCUUUACUAUAGCUUGACACUGAACAUUGAGCCUUGAUGUGUAGGAUAGGUGGGAGGCUUAGAAGUGUGGACGCCAGUCUGCAUGGAGCCGACCUUGAAAUACCACCCUUUAAUGUUUGAUGUUCUAACGUUGACCCGUAAUCCGGGUUGCGGACAGUGUCUGGUGGGUAGUUUGACUGGGGCGGUCUCCUCCUAAAGAGUAACGGAGGAGCACGAAGGUUGGCUAAUCCUGGUCGGACAUCAGGAGGUUAGUGCAAUGGCAUAAGCCAGCUUGACUGCGAGCGUGACGGCGCGAGCAGGUGCGAAAGCAGGUCAUAGUGAUCCGGUGGUUCUGAAUGGAAGGGCCAUCGCUCAACGGAUAAAAGGUACUCCGGGGAUAACAGGCUGAUACCGCCCAAGAGUUCAUAUCGACGGCGGUGUUUGGCACCUCGAUGUCGGCUCAUCACAUCCUGGGGCUGAAGUAGGUCCCAAGGGUAUGGCUGUUCGCCAUUUAAAGUGGUACGCGAGCUGGGUUUAGAACGUCGUGAGACAGUUCGGUCCCUAUCUGCCGUGGGCGCUGGAGAACUGAGGGGGGCUGCUCCUAGUACGAGAGGACCGGAGUGGACGCAUCACUGGUGUUCGGGUUGUCAUGCCAAUGGCACUGCCCGGUAGCUAAAUGCGGAAGAGAUAAGUGCUGAAAGCAUCUAAGCACGAAACUUGCCCCGAGAUGAGUUCUCCCUGACUCCUUGAGAGUCCUGAAGGAACGUUGAAGACGACGACGUUGAUAGGCCGGGUGUGUAAGCGCAGCGAUGCGUUGAGCUAACCGGUACUAAUGAACC
Molecule: ribosomal RNA, 976 nt
Filed under: Escherichia coli
Lineage: Bacteria; Pseudomonadati; Pseudomonadota; Gammaproteobacteria; Enterobacterales; Enterobacteriaceae
Description: bacterial LSU rRNA
Rfam family: Bacterial large subunit ribosomal RNA
Source: RNAcentral